This 253-nucleotide ribosomal RNA is filed under the name uncultured bacterium. RNAcentral's name for it is "partial 16S ribosomal RNA". It matches the Rfam family "Bacterial small subunit ribosomal RNA", at positions 524 to 776 of the family's 1533-position model. The record is from RNAcentral.
UACGUAGGUGGCAAGCGUUGUCCGGAAUCAUUGGGCGUAAAGCGCGCGCAGGCGGUCCCUUAAGUCUGAUGUGAAAGCCCACGGCUCAACCGUGGAGGGUCAUUGGAAACUGGGGGACUUGAGUGCAGAAGAGGAAAGCGGAAUUCCAAGUGUAGCGGUGAAAUGCGUAGAGAUUUGGAGGAACACCAGUGGCGAAGGCGGCUUUCUGGUCUGUAACUGACGCUGAGGCGCGAAAGCGUGGGGAGCAAACACG